CGGCUUUUUAAGUCGGAUGUGAAAUCCCUGAGCUUAACUUAGGAAUUGCAUUCGAUACUGGGAAGCUAGAGUAUGGGAGAGGAUGGUAGAAUUCCAGGUGUAGCGGUGAAAUGCGUAGAGAUCUGGAGGAAUACCGAUGGCGAAGGCAGCCAUCUGGCCUAAUACUGACGCUGAGGUACGAAAGCAUGGGGAGCAAACAGGAUUAGAUACCCUGGUAGUCCAUGCCGUAAACGAUGUCUACUAGCCGUUGGGGCCUUUGAGGCUUUAGUGGCGCAGCUAACGCGAUAAGUAGACCGCCUGGGGAGUACGGUCGCAAGACUAAAACUCAAAUGAAUUGACGGGGGCCCGCACAAGCGGUGGAGCAUGUGGUUUAAUUCGAUGCAACGCGAAGAACCUUACCUGGUCUUGACAUAGUAAGAACUUUCCAGAGAUGGAUUGGUGCCUUCGGGAACUUACAUACAGGUGCUGCAUGGCUGUCGUCAGCUCGUGUCGUGAGAUGUUGGGUUAAGUCCCGCAACGAGCGCAACCCUUUUCCUUAUUUGCCAGCGGGUUAAGCCGGGAACUUUAAGGAUACUGCCAGUGACAAACUGGAGGAAGGCGGGGACGACGUCAAGUCAUCAUGGCCCUUACGACCAGGGCUACACACGUGCUACAAUGGUCGGUACAAAGGGUUGCUACUCCGCGAGGAGAUGCUA
RNAcentral lists this ribosomal RNA (695 nucleotides) under Acinetobacter sp. XYL_413. RNAcentral describes it as "bacterial SSU rRNA". It matches the Rfam family "Bacterial small subunit ribosomal RNA", at positions 576 to 1270 of the family's 1533-position model. The record is from RNAcentral. Lineage: Bacteria; Pseudomonadati; Pseudomonadota; Gammaproteobacteria; Moraxellales; Moraxellaceae.